Molecule: ribosomal RNA, 253 nt
Filed under: uncultured bacterium
Lineage: Bacteria
Description: partial 16S ribosomal RNA
Rfam family: Bacterial small subunit ribosomal RNA
Source: RNAcentral
UACGUAGGGGGCAAGCGUUGUCCGGAAUCAUUGGGCGUAAAGCGCGUGUAGGCGGCUUGGUAAGUCCGUUCUGAAAGCCCGGGGCUCAACCCCGGGAGGCGGAUGGAUACUGUCAAGCUCGAGUCCGGAAGAGGCGAGUGGAAUUCCAGGUGUAGCGGUGAAAUGCGCAGAUAUCUGGAGGAACACCCGUAGCGAAGGCGGCACUCUGGGCCGGAACUGACGCUGAGGAGCGAAAGCGUGGGGAGCGAACAGG